UACGUAGGGGGCGAGCGUUGUCCGGAUUUACUGGGCGUAAAGAGCGCGUAGGCGGCCAGGAGAGUCGGCUGUGAAAUCUCUGGGCCCAACCCAGAGGGGUCGGCCGAGACCUCCUGACUGGAGGGUGGUAGAGGAAGGUGGAAUUCCGGGUGUAGUGGUGAAAUGCGUAGAGAUCCGGAGGAACACCAGUGGCGAAGGCGGCCUUCUGGGCCACACCUGACGCUGAGGCGCGAAAGCGUGGGGAG
Molecule: ribosomal RNA, 245 nt
Filed under: uncultured bacterium
Lineage: Bacteria
Description: partial 16S ribosomal RNA
Rfam family: Bacterial small subunit ribosomal RNA
Source: RNAcentral